UACGGAGGCGCAAGCGUUACGUCGGAAUCACGUGGGCGUAAAGAGCGUGUAGGCGGGUUAAUAAGUCAGAAGUGAAAUCCUAUAGCUCAACUAUAGAACUGCUUUUGAAACUGUUAACCUAGAAUAUGGGAGAGGUAGAUGGGAAUUUCUGGUGUAGGGGUAAAAUCCGUAGAGAUCAGAAGGAAUACCGAUUGCGAAGGCGAUCUACUGGAACAUUAUUGACGCUGAGACGCGAAAAGCGUGGGGAGCAAACAGGAUUAGAUACCCGCGUAGU
RNAcentral lists this ribosomal RNA (274 nucleotides) under uncultured bacterium. RNAcentral's name for it is "partial 16S ribosomal RNA". It matches the Rfam family "Bacterial small subunit ribosomal RNA", at positions 524 to 794 of the family's 1533-position model. The record is from RNAcentral.